RNAcentral lists this long non-coding RNA (562 nucleotides) under Numida meleagris (helmeted guineafowl). Its description in RNAcentral is "lncRNA (ENSNMEG00000001260.1)". The record is from RNAcentral. Lineage: Eukaryota; Metazoa; Chordata; Aves; Galliformes; Numididae.
GCACUAUUGCAGCAAAUCAUUCUGUUUUCCUUUGUAGAAUUAGCCACAAAACUUCUGAGAAUUUAGCCUUGAUCAAAACCAUAUGUGGUGGAGAGGGCAAAAAAUCACAUGUUUCUUCUUGGCAAAAUGUGUGAGCUUCAAGCAAUUGCCAUAUACUAGUUGCAGCGACAAAGCCCUGGAAGGUGAACUACUGAGUCAGUGAGACAGGAAGUGGCAAGCAGCUUUGGUCUAGAAGCCUCAAAAGCACCAAUGACUUCUUGUUUAAUUUGGAGACUUUUCAAAAAAUCCUCUUCGAUGCAAGCCUUUCCAUCUUGCAGAUCUCCCUUAAGGUACUCUGUACUCUUUGCCAUAGCUACAGGAGAUCUGAAGAUAUACACUCUCAGGAAGAAAUGGAAGGCUAAGGAAGACUGAGCACUUGGGCAGCAAACAGAAUUGUGACAUUUUUUUCCCUAUGGGUAAUCCAAACAACUUCACAAAAUGCUGACCCAGUUCUCACAUAUUUAAUCGUGUGUCUUAUUUAGGUUGUGAUUCGUUGUUUUUUGUUUUUGUUUUUGUUUUUUGC